This is a long non-coding RNA of Oreochromis aureus, 1923 nucleotides long. The record is from Ensembl. Lineage: Eukaryota; Metazoa; Chordata; Actinopteri; Cichliformes; Cichlidae.
AAAAGUCCGAGCUGUCACGGAGCAAAAACGGGAGCUGGAAGCAUGUAAAUAUAAUAAUAACCACUGCAGCCAAGAAGAGUGCCUGAGGAGCCCAUUUGCAAGUUUGCUUUCUCUGUUGGUUUGAUCGAUCAGGUUGGACAGUUCAAGCUGGAGACAUCACUGAAAUUCAACAUUUGCAGUACUUACAAUGUAACUUCAGGUGCAUUUCACCCAACAAAUGAAUCCAAAUGGAUCUGAACACACUUAACCUUCGCAAUGCUUAAUAAAAUACAAAACCCUCUUUUCUUAUCUUUUUAUUCAGGCAGGUUCGUCGCACCAGCCAGAGGUCUACUACUUCAGAUUCACUGCCUUUGAUCACUGAAUUGGAAAACUCUGGUCUUCACCUUUACUGCAAUAACCAGAAAAUCAUUUCUAACUGGGAAAACAAGAAUAAUGAAGGCCAUUUGUACCUGUCAGAUGCAUUAACUCUUCAAAUAAAUGAGGGGGAGUUAGUGUACACGCACCUUCCCUCUGGGCACAGCCUUUAUGAUGAUCAAAAUAUUCCCAACACAUUAAGUGGUCUCUUAUAUUUCAGUCUUAAACGCCUCCCACGUGGCGGUCACGUUGUGCUGCCCAUUUAUGGUGACCCACGACAUAACUAAAUAUUUAAUGAUCAGCAAUUGGUGCUCCUGUCAUCCAAUGUUGUGCAUUAUAACAUAGACAAUUUUCUCUGCUAAAUUACCUGCGAUUAGCCUUCAGUGCGAGUUUUAUGAACUACAGGUUAAGGACAUAUGUUUACUCCGGCAACAUAGGCGAUUGCUUUGUUUUGAUGAGUUCAGCCUUUAAUUGCUUGUCUAGAGUCAUCUCAAGAUGAAAAACUCCACUGAAGCUGCACUUGAUCAAAGCUGCGCUAAAGUGAGGUCUGCAGCGAGUGAGUAAGAGAACAAAUAGCGAUUUCAAAUUCUGUAUGAAGUUUAUCCGCUAUGAUGCUCACUGGUAAAAAAUACUAGAAAUAAGACAGCUUUUGUGGCAGAGAUGUAUGGGAGUAAAGGGUAACACACGCAUUGGAUCAUCCACACAUGGAAAUAAAGUUUAGUUUAACAACGUAUCUGCAUUUGAAACAAAGAGAGCCCAGGUCUAGUUCUGUGAGGCUUUGAACUAAAUGCUGAUGUCAGCAUGCCAGCAUAGAGUACCUAUUACAAUGAGAGUGCUAAAAUGCUGAUGUAAGGUUUAAAUAGUGAACUAUCUGUGCCUUUUUACCUUAGCUGUUCUAUGGCACACUUAAAAAUACAUUUUGUUUUGUUUUUCCCCCCACCCAUUCACACAGACACCAGUGGAGCUCACCUGCUAUCAGGAGCAGCUUGGAGCUCAGCAUGAGCUACGUGAUUUACCAUGUUUGCUAUCAUUAGCAGAUUAGCAUGUUCUGUGUUUACUGUCUUUACAUCAAGCAUGAAAAACAAAGUGAAGCUAACGCUAAGAGGGUCAAAAAGGGCCAUCAGACAAUUUAAAAGUUAAACAAGUAAGAAGUAAAUCGGCGGGACAGUGAUGCCGUUUUUGAGGAGUGGACAUCACUUUUAUUUUUAUUGCGCAAAAGAGAAACUGCUAACACAACUUUGGCUCUUUGCAGCACGCUAGCACUAAGCUUCAGUCCAGCAACCAGAUACUGAACUUCAACAAGUAACAAAAAUAUUGAUGAGCAGUCUGUAGCUUCUCUGUCUGCCUGUUUUAAAGUAGAAUCCCUGCAGGCGAUCGCUAUGAAGUCUUUCUUCGUCUGUUUUUCGUCUUUGCCUUGUGUUGCUGGCUUUGUGUUCAUACGGGGUAAUGUUUUACAGCGCAACAAGAAAGUGAUGUAAUGAGUAGUGUAACAGAUUACUUUCUCUGGCUAAACAUAUUAAAUUACUUCUGAGAAAAGUAAUGUAUAAUCUGUAACACGUUACUUUUACU